GCGCAAGUUUUGCGCGGCGAAUUGUAGUCUAUAGACGCGGCAUCAGUGCGGCCGUUCGGGGUAAGUUCCUUGGAAGAGGACAGCAAUGAGGGUGAUACUCCCGUUUGUACCCGAGUGUGUUGCACGUACGAUGCGUGUUCUUUGAGUCGCGUUGUUUGGGAAUGCAGCGCAAAGUAGGUGGUAAAUUCCAUCUAAAGCUAAAUAUUGGUGCGAGACCGAUAGCGAACAAGUACCGUGAGGGAAAGAUGAAAAGAACUUUGAAAAGAGAGUUAAAGAGUACCUGAAACUGCUGAAAGGGAACCGGGUCGUUGCCAGUGUCUAUAAUCCGCUGCAUAUUUCAUUGCUGUGCGAGUCCGUGUCGCGCGUGUGGUAGUAGUUUGUUCUGCACCGCGCGUGUCUGUGGGUUUGUUCGGCGGUGCCCUGUGCGGUGGUGGGACGUCAGAGUCAGUUCGUGUUGCUGCGGGAAAUGGCUGUCGAGGAGGUAGGUCAGGAGCUUGCUUUUGGCUGUUAUAUCUUGGCGUGCUAGUUGUCGUGGUUGGGACUGAGGUGCCUUACAACGUGCUUUUGGAGUGCGUGUGCGUCUCUGUGUGCGUCCGGAUUGGAUAGCUUGCUAUGCAGUUUGUCACGUGUGCGGAUGGAUGUGCGCGUUUACUUUUGGCCGUUCGGGACUUUGACGAAAUGGCGCGAUCCGACCCGUCUUGAAACACGGACCAAGGAGUCUAACAUGUGUGCAAGUGUUAGGGUGUGGAAACCCAAGCGCGAAAUGAAAGUAAAGGACAGCGUUGGUUGUCUGAGGUAGGAAACCCUUGCUCGUCAGGGGUGGCACUAUCGACCGAUCAUGAACCCUCGUGGUGAAAGAUUUGAGUAUGAGCACAUAUGUUGGUACCCGAAAGAUGGUGAACUAUGCCUGAGUAGGGUGAAGCCAGGGGAAACUCUGGUGGAAGCUCGUAGCGAUUCUGACGUGCAAAUCGAUCGUCAAACUUGGGUAUAGGGGCGAAAGACUAAUCGAACCAUCUAGUAGCUGGUUCCCUCCGAAAUUUCCCUCAGGAUAGCAGCAACUUAUUUACGAUAGUUUUAUGAGGUAAAGCGAAUGAUUAGAGGA
Molecule: ribosomal RNA, 1102 nt
Filed under: Phytopythium litorale
Lineage: Eukaryota; Oomycota; Peronosporomycetes; Pythiales; Pythiaceae
Description: partial large subunit ribosomal RNA
Rfam family: Eukaryotic large subunit ribosomal RNA
Source: RNAcentral